Molecule: ribosomal RNA, 505 nt
Filed under: uncultured Gammaproteobacteria bacterium
Lineage: Bacteria; Pseudomonadati; Pseudomonadota; Gammaproteobacteria
Description: bacterial SSU rRNA
Rfam family: Bacterial small subunit ribosomal RNA
Source: RNAcentral
GUCCGAUUGGCUGGUUGGCGGGGUAAUGGCCCACCAAGGCGACGAUCGGUAGCUGGUCUGAGAGGAUGAUCAGCCACACUGGGACUGAGACACGGCCCAGACUCCUACGGGAGGCAGCAGUGGGGAAUAUUGGACAAUGGGCGCAAGCCUGAUCCAGCCAUGCCGCGGGGGUGAAGAAGGCCUUCGGGUUGUAAAGCCCUUUUGUUGGGAAAGAAAUCCAGCUGGUUAAUACCCGGUUGGGAUGACGGUACCCAAAGAAUAAGCACCGGCUAACUUCGUGCCAGCAGCCGCGGUAAUACGAAGGGUGCAAGCGUUACUCGGAAUUACUGGGCGUAAAGCGUGCGUAGGUGGUCGUUUAAGUCCGUUGUGAAAGCCCUGGGCUCAACCUGGGAACUGCAGUGGAUACUGGGCGACUAGAGUGUGGUAGAGGGUAGCGGAAUUCCUGGUGUAGCAGUGAAAUGCGUAGAGAUCAGGAGGAACAUCCAUGGCGAAGGCAGCUACCUGG